Panicum hallii is the source of this 790-nucleotide long non-coding RNA. RefSeq lists it as uncharacterized. Lineage: Eukaryota; Viridiplantae; Streptophyta; Magnoliopsida; Poales; Poaceae. The record is from RefSeq and is a predicted model, not a curated record. The transcript is spliced from 2 exons.
GGCCACCUGGCCGGCGAUGCCUGCCGGCGAGCCACGCCAAAGGGGCCUCCCCGACCGGCCGCCGACCAGCGGCGCUGCCCCCUGCCGCACGCCACCGCGGCCCGUCCCCGGCCUUCACGCGGCAGGGAAUCCCUGCGCGCAGGAGCCGCGACGCCCUAGCGAGGACGCGCCCUCGCCGCGCCGCUGCCGCGCCCCCUGCCCGGCCGUGCCCAGCGCCCCUGCCCGCUGCCCGGCCUCCCUGCUCGCCUCUCCUCCCAGCAACGCGCGCCUGAGCCACCACCGAGCUCCGCCGGCCACCAUUGCUGCCGCCGAGCUCCCCUCGCCGUCGCGCCCGCCCUUCCGCCCCCACCUGGCCCGAACCAACCCCACCAGCCGCUCGCCCAUGGUCCCCUGAGACGCCCUGGCCGGGUCCCCGUCGCCUCACCUCGCCGGAACAGCACCAGCGCCGUCACCAACUGCCGCCCCCCUGCUCCACCGCCGCGCCCCCUACUCCGGCCAUCUCCGAGCCCCAAACAAGGCACCAAGAGACCCAACUUCUCUCGUUGACGGAACGUACGAGUUGUCUCGUUGACGGAACGUACGAGUUGCUGCCCGAGUCCGAGAGUGAGCAGUGUGAAGCCAAUCUUAAGUUAACUGAAGUUGAAGAUUCGAACCAAAGUUCGAAAGAGUCCAAGGCUAGCUUUGCUUACGAAGGCAAACCCUGGAGCAUGAACCCUAUUUUCCCUGUAUGCAAUAUUCUUAAUUUAUGUACUUGUGCAUUUAUGUUUAUAGGAGUUCUUUGAAACCUUAA